GAUGAACGCUGGCGGCGUGCCUAAUACAUGCAAGUCGAGCGAACAGACGAGGAGCUUGCUCCUCUGACGUUAGCGGCGGACGGGUGAGUAACACGUGGAUAACCUAUCUAUAAGACUGGGAUAACUUCGGGAAACCGGAGCUAAUACCGGAUAAUAUAUUGAACCGCAUGGUUCUAUAGUGAAAGACGGUUUUGCUGUCACUUAUAGAUGGAUCCGCGCCGCAUUAGCUAGUUGGUAAGGUAACGGCUUACCAAGGCAACGAUGCGUAGCCGACCUGAGAGGGUGAUCGGCCACACUGGAACUGAGACACGGUCCAGACUCCUACGGGAGGCAGCAGUAGGGAAUCUUCCGCAAUGGGCGAAAGCCUGACGGAGCAACGCCGCGUGAGUGAUGAAGGUCUUCGGAUCGUAAAACUCUGUUAUUAGGGAAGAACAAAUGUGUAAGUAACUAUGCACGUCUUGACGGUACCUAAUCAGAAAGCCACGGCUAACUACGUG
RNAcentral lists this ribosomal RNA (497 nucleotides) under uncultured bacterium. Its description in RNAcentral is "partial 16S ribosomal RNA". It matches the Rfam family "Bacterial small subunit ribosomal RNA", at positions 28 to 507 of the family's 1533-position model. The record is from RNAcentral.